AUGCGCCCCGCGGCCUCGAAGGCGGCCGGGAAGGAGAAGAGCAGGAGGAAGGGCGCCGGCGCCGGCGCCGGAGAGCAUCUCCUCACCGACCGCGUCCUCUCCCUCCGCGCCCGCCUGCACGACGCCCUCUCCCUCGGCCUCGCCAGGUCUGAUGGCCACGGUGCAAAAAAAUGGCAGUCUACUGAUGCUGGAAUUCAGUCUCACGCGAUCAAAGCAGUGACUGCUUUUCUCGGUUGUUUGUCAACUGAAAUGUUGCGGCUUCCUCCUAUAAAGGAGUCAGUUUCGGAUAUUCUCGUACUCCUGGAAGGUGUUCUUCAGACAAAGAACAUUUCAAUUUUGAUCCAAGCAGCAGAUGUGAGCUCAAAGUUAGUUUCCAGCAUAGGCAAUUCGAUUCGGCAAUACCCAAUUUUGGAGAUUGUUUCGCCCCUCUCAUGCCAGUUGUCGGCACACCAGUUACCUACAGCUAUCUCAUGUGCAAGGGCAAUGAAUUGCAUAUUGAAUAGCCUAGUGACGGCGAGAGGUUCAACUCAUGCAGAAAUUUUGGAAACCUUGGAGAGAACCAAUGCAGUUGCAAGUAUUGUUUCAGCUCUGCAGAGUUACACUCCUGAUGUCCAUCCAUUGAGUUAUCUGACCGAGAUGAUAUCACUACUAAGAACCAUACUGUGGAUUUGGCCUUCCUCAAGAUACCAUGUAUGGAGUAAUGGUAACCUGAUGGGCAAGUUAGCACAUUUCUGUCUUGCCACUGAAACAAUGGUUGUUGCUAAAGUUCUUAGGCUGUAUGCUGCUUUAGCUUUAUGUGGCCAUGGAGCUGUCAUCCUUCUCAAGAAUGACGUCUUAAUGGCUAAGAUUUGUGAGCUCGUGGGAACGUCCCAUCCGAGUAGUACUAGGAUUGAAGCGUUCAGACUCUGCCAUGUUCUUUUGAGGUCUUCGAAGGGCUGUAGUCAGUUAAUGACUUCACGUUGCCAGCCUAUUGUUGAAGGCAUAAUCGAUGCAAUGCGUGCAAAGGAUGAUAAAUUGUUAGUAACAGAGGGGUGUCGUACUGCACUGCUGGUCCUACGUUAUGCUGGGAAUCAUCAUCAAUGCUUUUGGUCUAAUGCCAUCGAUAAAGUAUUAUAUAGCAUUCUUACCGGUCGCUGCCUCUCCUCGCAUCAAAGUGAUAAAGUUUUGUGCGAUGAUGAGCUAUUUGAUAUGGUUUCCAAAAACUUCAUGGAUAUACAUCCAUACGUCUGGGAUAUACUUGGAUAUCUAGUGGUGCAUUGCACGGAGGAUCACCAUCCUGUAAGGAAAGGGAAAGGUCAUAGCUUGCACGCACUGAUAUCUUGUGCUUGCUUGCUGGCCACAGAUGUUAUGCGCAAAAGCAGCCCCAUGACAUUAUCCAAAGAUGUACAGGAGCCGGCUUUGAGGGCAGUUUUGAUGAUGCUUCUCUCUCCCAAUGGAUAUAUUCAGUAUGAGGCAAAUUUUAAACUUUCAGAAGGUCUUCCAUAUUUGGGUGAUGGCUAUUUGAACGUUCUAUUGUCAUCAUUAGAAUCAAAUACUACGAGAAGUGUUGCCACAUCUUUUGACAGUUUCAAAAUUAUGACCAACCUCAUGAACCUAGCAUGUUUGGUGCUGUCACGACCUUACCAUAAUCUCCUUAACAAGAGGAAUCCUGUUGAUGUGUUGUCCAUCAUUAUCAAGGAAUGUCUCCACAAUAAUAUACAUAUUACGAGGUCAAAAGUCACUUCCCAUCUGCAUUUUUGUUUUGAAGGAAGUUCAUGCUGUUGCUAUCUCGGUGAAGAGUGGGAGGGUGAAAACAUAGUCUUAUUCUACGGUCUUGUUGGGCUGUUUAAUCUUCUGAGGAGCACUACUUUAGUUUGUGUUCAGUGUAAGAGGAAGUUGGAUGUUGGGAUUCUGUGCCAUGACUGCAGAGAUCAGUAUACCGAAGAUUUUCUUAUAGUUCUUCAAUGUGCUCUAAGUCAAAGCUUGAGUUCUGGACCGAAGCUCUAUAUUGCACACAUCCUGAGUUUGUUUGGCCUCUGCGGUUCUCCAAGCAAGUUGGGCGGGAAGAUGAGUAGUGCAUUAGAUAAUAACGAUCUAGCUGAUCUGGAACUUUUGCUUUCAGAUGGUGAAUCUAUAAAUGCUCACACAGCCAUCAUAUCAGCAAGGUGUCCUAAGCUGUUGCCAUCUGUAAAAUAUCUACUUGGCAGCGACGAAAAAGCUAAAGAUGAAUGGGGAAAAUCAGUGUACCGAGUUCAAAUGUCUGAUCGUGUAGAUAGCCACGCCUUGAAGAAGAUUUUGGAGUACACAUAUACUGGUUUUGUGAUGGUAGGUGAUGACAUUGUUAAACCAGUAAGGACACUUGCGAAGUAUUGUAACCUGAAAUCAUUGGCAGAAAUGCUUCAGAAAGAGCAACCCAGAUGGAACUCCAAUUAUACCAGAUAUGAUCUUACCGUUGCACUUGGACCAGUUGAGCAUUCGUUCUCGGACAUAAUUUUGGAGGCUCAAUCAAAUGAGGAAAUGAAGUGUGACCACGGGCCGUGCCAAUUGUCAACCCCGCACGUUCAUAGCCACAAAAUCGUGCUGAUAAUGAGCUGCGAUUACCUCCGGGCAUUAUUUCGAUCCGGGAUGCACGAGAGGGUUCCACUCGGGUGGCAAGCGCUGGACAAACUAGUCCAGUGGUUCUACUCGGGCGAGCUGCCGAAAGCCGCCCUCGACUGCCGGUGGAACAACCUGAGCAGCGACGGGCAGCGCUCCCACCUGAACGCCUACGCGGAGCUGUCUUCGCUUGCCGAGUUCUGGUUCCUGGAGGGGGUGAAGGAGGAGAGCCUCGAGGUGGUCUCGUCCCUCCUGGAGUCGAGCACGAGCGCCGCCGCGGUCGAGUUCGUCGCCUUCGCGGCCAACCUGGGCCAGUGGGAGAUGGUCGAGGCCGGCGUCCGGAGCGUGGCGCACCUGUACCCCCGGCUGCGGGACUCGGGCCGGCUGGAGCAUCUCGACGACGAGCUGCUCAACAUGGUGCGGACCGAGUACGUCCGGUACUCGCAGCACGGAGGCGGGCAGAGGUGA
This 3042-nucleotide ribosomal RNA is filed under the name Triticum aestivum (bread wheat). Its description in RNAcentral is "partial small subunit ribosomal RNA". Lineage: Eukaryota; Viridiplantae; Streptophyta; Magnoliopsida; Poales; Poaceae. The record is from RNAcentral.